GAUGAACGCUAGCGGCAGGCCUAAUACAUGCAAGUCGAACGAGAUUACGAGGCUUGUUUCUUAUGGAAGUGGCGCACGGGUGCGUAACGCGUAUGCAACCUACCUUCAUCAGGGGGAUAGCCCGAAGAAAUUAGGAUUAAGAACGCAUAAAAACACAGGAUAGCAUUAUCCAAUGUUCAAAUAUUUAUAGGAUUAAGAUGGGCAUGCGUGUCAGUAGCUAGUUGGCGGUGUAACGGCCUACCAAGGCGACGAUGACUAGGGGAUCUGAGAGGAUGACAGGCCACCCCGAAACUGGGACAAGGGCCAGACCCCGACGGCAGGCGGCAGCAGGGAAAAGGCAGAAAUGGGCGAAAGGCGGACGGAGAAACGGCCCGUGAGGGAAGAAGGACUUCGGCUCGUAGAACUAUGAUAUUAUGGAAGAAGAAAUGAGUAAGUAACUAUGCAGGAAGUGAAGGUACCCAAACAGAAAGGCACGGCUAACUACCGG
RNAcentral lists this ribosomal RNA (487 nucleotides) under uncultured bacterium. RNAcentral describes it as "partial 16S ribosomal RNA". It matches the Rfam family "Bacterial small subunit ribosomal RNA", at positions 28 to 507 of the family's 1533-position model. The record is from RNAcentral.